GAGCCGUUCCCCUCCACGCCUGCGGUCUGACACGCACUGAAUCUUCAGCUAACAAGCUGUUUACACAUUAACGAGCCUGGAUUUACUCACACUCAUACACAUCCCUCGUUCACUUUCACACCGGAGCCAGCCAGUGGUGUCCAGAUGUUUCCUCUGUGGAAGUGAGCGAGCAGGCCUCUCCACGCUGCACCGCGGGGCAAAUAGCUCUGAUUUACUCUCUCCGGAUGUGGCAGGAGCGCCGUGAGGGAGGAAGUGCGAACCGACGAGCCUCUCGCCCGCCGUGCCGCCCGCUGAUAAGACCCAGCGUGGAAAAUUGUAAACAGACCGGACCUGGAAGCGGCACGUUCUCCCGGUUUAACGGAAACCUGCUUGGAAGAACUGCGUCCAGCUCAUGAGCACGUGCAGCGAAAAUUUCAUCGUUUUAACACCAUAAAUACCAUCUCUCUCCUUAAAACACUGGUUUUGACAUGACUGGCGCCCCUCGAUUAAUAUUACAUGAAGCCUACCCUGGAUAUAACACCGGCACCGACCCGCUUCCCGUCACGUCUGACAGCGUCAGAGACACGUGUAGAAGAUCUUUGGACGCGUGACAUCCCGAGAGGCAACUUUUAAGAAAAUAACAGCUCUUCUCCUCCAUGACGUUCUCCUUGACGAUCGGAUCAGCCGCUGACCGGUCGUAGCCAACGAGCCGGGUUUUGACGCAAUCAAAACAAAAACAUAUCUUACCGACAGCUGUGUGGCUCAGUGGUGAGCACAUCUGCCUCACGCCCCCGGGGGGAUGUGGGUUUGAAUCCCGUCUGCGUGCGUGGUGGAGUUUGCAUGUUCUCCUUGUGCUUCGGGGGUUUCCUCCAGGAACCCUUUCACAGACCGGGGAACUUGAGGUGUGUUUAGAGCUCAGGCACUUUCUAAGAAACUUCAGCAGUGUUUCCACUAGAGGAACCCUUUCAGGAACGUAAGGCUUGCCUCCAUAGCUGAAACUUUCUCUGCCGGAACCCUUUGUGGAACUCAAGAACGUUGGGUGCCUAUCCACUGCAGGAACCCU
This is a long non-coding RNA of Ictalurus punctatus (channel catfish), 1042 nucleotides long. The record is from Ensembl. NCBI's taxonomy places the organism in Eukaryota, Metazoa, Chordata, Actinopteri, Siluriformes, Ictaluridae.